ACGAGUGGCGAACGGGUGAGUAACACGUGGGUGAUCUGCCCUGCACUUCGGGAUAAGCCUGGGAAACUGGGUCUAAUACCGGGAUAGGACCAUGGACUUCACGGUUUGUGGUGGAAAGCUUUUGCGGUGUGGGAUGGGCCCGCGGCCUAUCAGCUUGUUGGUGGGGUAAUGGCCUACCAAGGCGACGACGGGUAGCCGGCCUGAGAGGGUGUCCGGCCACACUGGGACUGAGAUACGGCCCAGACUCCUACGGGAGGCAGCAGUGGGGAAUAUUGCACAAUGGGCGCAAGCCUGAUGCAGCGACGCCGCGUGAGGGAUGACGGCCUUCGGGUUGUAAACCUCUUUCAAUAGGGACGAAGCGCAAGUGACGGUACCUAUAGAAGAAGCACCGGCCAACUACGUG
RNAcentral lists this ribosomal RNA (403 nucleotides) under uncultured bacterium. RNAcentral's name for it is "bacterial SSU rRNA". It matches the Rfam family "Bacterial small subunit ribosomal RNA", at positions 91 to 507 of the family's 1533-position model. The record is from RNAcentral.